Molecule: ribosomal RNA, 799 nt
Filed under: uncultured bacterium
Lineage: Bacteria
Description: bacterial SSU rRNA
Rfam family: Bacterial small subunit ribosomal RNA
Source: RNAcentral
AGAGUUUGAUCCUGGCUCAGGAUGAACGCUAGCUACAGGCUUAACACAUGCAAGUCGAGGGGCAGCAUAUUGGUAGCUUGCUACUAAUGAUGGCGACCGGCGCACGGGUGAGUAACGCGUAUCCAACCUUCCCUAUACUAGAGGAUAGCCCGGCGAAAGUCGGAUUAAUACUCUAUGUUCUUCGUAGAUGACAUCUGAAAUGAAGCAAAGAUUUAUCGGUAUAGGAUGGGGAUGCGUCUGAUUAGCUUGUUGGCGGGGUAACGGCCCACCAAGGCAACGAUCAGUAGGGGUUCUGAGAGGAAGGUCCCCCACAUUGGUACUGAGACACGGACCAAACUCCUACGGGAGGCAGCAGUGAGGAAUAUUGGUCAAUGGGCGAGAGCCUGAACCAGCCAAGUAGCGUGCAGGAUGACGGCCCUAUGGGUUGUAAACUGCUUUUGUACGGGAAUAAAGUGUGGGACGUGUCCCAUUUUGUAUGUACCGUAAGAAUAAGGACCGGCUAAUUCCGUGCCAGCAGCCGCGGUAAUACGGAAGGUCCGGGCGUUAUCCGGAUUUAUUGGGUUUAAAGGGAGCGCAGGCUGGAGAUUAAGCGUGACGUGAAAUGUAGCCGCUCAACGGCUGAACUGCGUCGCGAACUGGUUAUCUUGAGUGAGUUCGAUGUUGGCGGAAUUCGUGGUGUAGCGGUGAAAUGCUUAGAUAUCACGAAGAACUCCGAUUGCGAAGGCAGCCAACAAAGGCCUUUACUGACGCUAAAGCUCGAAGGUGCGGGUAUCGAACAGGAUUAGAUACCCUGGUAGUC